GGCGAAUAUAGUAUUGGUCGUAAACAAGGUAAUCAAAAUACACAAAAAUUUAAUAUAGCACUCAAUUAAAGACAAGUUCUUAAGCUACGUUUACACGCUGCGGUUAAUCGUGUAUAUAGGAUUCGUUUUCUGGUAGCCUGCGAACAGGCUCACUCCUCUAUUCCUCGCGCCGCCCGUAACCCAGGGCCUGUUUGCAGGCUAUGGCGUAUGUCAUUGAGUACACACGCCUAAGCUGGCUACAUUUG
This is a non-coding RNA of Paramuricea clavata, 245 nucleotides long. NCBI's taxonomy places the organism in Eukaryota, Metazoa, Cnidaria, Anthozoa, Malacalcyonacea, Plexauridae. The record is from the annotation of a GenBank genome assembly.